AGCAAGGUAGCUCAGUCGGUAGAGCAUGAGACUCUUCAUCUCAGCGCCGUGGGUUCGAGCCCUAUGUUGGGCAA
This is a non-coding RNA of Podarcis lilfordi (Lilford's wall lizard), 74 nucleotides long. NCBI's taxonomy places the organism in Eukaryota, Metazoa, Chordata, Lepidosauria, Squamata, Lacertidae. The record is from the annotation of a GenBank genome assembly.